Molecule: ribosomal RNA, 858 nt
Filed under: Burkholderia sp.
Lineage: Bacteria; Pseudomonadati; Pseudomonadota; Betaproteobacteria; Burkholderiales; Burkholderiaceae
Description: bacterial SSU rRNA
Rfam family: Bacterial small subunit ribosomal RNA
Source: RNAcentral
UGCAAGUCGAACGGCAGCACGGGGGCAACCCUGGUGGCGAGUGGCGAACGGGUGAGUAAUACAUCGGAACGUGUCCUGUAGUGGGGGAUAGCCCGGCGAAAGCCGGAUUAAUACCGCAUACGCUCUGCGGAGGAAAGCGGGGGAUCUUAGGACCUCGCGCUACAGGGGCGGCCGAUGGCAGAUUAGCUAGUUGGUGGGGUAAAGGCCUACCAAGGCGACGAUCUGUAGCUGGUCUGAGAGGACGACCAGCCACACUGGGACUGAGACACGGCCCAGACUCCUACGGGAGGCAGCAGUGGGGAAUUUUGGACAAUGGGCGCAAGCCUGAUCCAGCAAUGCCGCGUGUGUGAAGAAGGCCUUCGGGUUGUAAAGCACUUUUGUCCGGAAAGAAAUCCUUUGGGCUAAUACCCCGGGGGGAUGACGGUACCGGAAGAAUAAGCACCGGCUAACUACGUGCCAGCAGCCGCGGUAAUACGUAGGGUGCAAGCGUUAAUCGGAAUUACUGGGCGUAAAGCGUGCGCAGGCGGUUCGCUAAGACAGAUGUGAAAUCCCCGGGCUUAACCUGGGAACUGCAUUUGUGACUGGCGGGCUAGAGUAUGGCAGAGGGGGGUAGAAUUCCACGUGUAGCAGUGAAAUGCGUAGAGAUGUGGAGGAAUACCGAUGGCGAAGGCAGCCCCCUGGGCCAAUACUGACGCUCAUGCACGAAAGCGUGGGGAGCAAACAGGAUUAGAUACCCUGGUAGUCCACGCCCUAAACGAUGUCAACUAGUUGUCGGGUCUUCAUUGACUUGGUAACGAAGCUAACGCGUGAAGUUGACCGCCUGGGGAGUACGGUCGCAAGAUUAAAACUCAAAGGAAA